GACGAACGCUGGCGGCGCGCUUAACACAUGCAAGUCGAACGGAAAGGCCUGCUUUCCCUUGUGGAUUGCGGGUACUCGAGUGGCGAACGGGUGAGUAACACGUGAGUGAUCUGCCCCCAACUUGGGUCUAAGCCUGGGAAACUGGGUCUAAUCCCCCAUAGGACUGCAGGGUGGUGCCUGUGGUGGAAAACGCUCUUCUAGUGGUUGGGGAUGAGCUCGCGGCCUAUCAGCUUGUUGGUGUGGUAAUGUCCUACCAAGGCGGCGACGGGUAGCCGGCGGGGGAAGGGGGACGGAGACAGUGGAACUGAGCUGCGGCCCAGAGGCCGACGGGAGGCAGCAGUGGGGAAGAUCGCAAAAUGGGCGGAAGCCUGAGGCAGCGACGCAGAGGGGGGGGUGACGGCCUUCGGGUGGUAAACUCCUUUCGACCGCGAGGAAGCCACCUGGUUGGAAGGGUGGUGACGGUAGUGGUAGAAGAAGCACCGGCUAACUACGUG
This 494-nucleotide ribosomal RNA is filed under the name uncultured bacterium. RNAcentral's name for it is "partial 16S ribosomal RNA". It matches the Rfam family "Bacterial small subunit ribosomal RNA", at positions 28 to 507 of the family's 1533-position model. The record is from RNAcentral.